Molecule: long non-coding RNA, 749 nt
Organism: Phyllopteryx taeniolatus (common seadragon)
Lineage: Eukaryota; Metazoa; Chordata; Actinopteri; Syngnathiformes; Syngnathidae
Exons: 2
Source: RefSeq, a predicted model, not a curated record
CAGCAUGGAUUGUCCAUAAUGAACAUGUUGGCUUUGUAAAGAAAGAAAACUGUCUUCCAGAAGUUUAGAGGUCCUCUCUCCAACAUCAGACAACAGUAUGCAGCACCUCCCAGAAAACUGGUCCCAUCAACAGGCGUCUAUCACGUGGGAGAAGAAUUGGCAAGAUUAAAGGGACGCUCUGCUAUAUGGAAACAUCCCAGAUGCGUCCUGCACCGCACAAAUUAUGUGGAAAGUGACCUUUUUAAGAGGAGGAACUUGGAAUUCUUUUUUCUGGCUUUUGAGGGAGGAUUGGUAUCUCUGCUGACCAUCAUAGAAGACCAAUGUUCUAAAGCAGAUGACAAGUUUUAAGGGAACCCAGUCAAAGGUUUAAAAGCAAUGUUCUGACCCAAGGGGAAAGUUUGACAGGUCAUUUAUUUGAUGAUCUAUAAUGAAAACUGAUGUAGCUACUUUAUGCAAAUCUGUUACCAUAUUUUAAUAGUGAAAUUGGUCAUCAUUUAGGAUUAUUUUCAAUUUAUUGUACAAUAUUUAAGACAUUUUGCAGAAAGGAAAAUAAGUCUAGGUCAAAUGUGCUUUACUUACAGAACAUUACAUAGAUUUCUGAAAUGCUAUUCUUUUCCAUGAAAUAAAUAUUGUACCAUUGAUCUGGAGGAUGAGACAGCAACGAGACCCAGAAUGUGGUCAUUUGCACAGAGUAAUGGUGUGUACUUGUUUUGUAGAAUGGAAGGGAAUUAAAUACAUGUUCAGAUUUA